This 258-nucleotide ribosomal RNA is filed under the name uncultured bacterium. RNAcentral's name for it is "partial 16S ribosomal RNA". It matches the Rfam family "Bacterial small subunit ribosomal RNA", at positions 333 to 588 of the family's 1533-position model. The record is from RNAcentral.
UUAGGCCUACGGGGGGCAGCAGUGAGGAAUAUUGGUCAAUGGGCGGGAGCCUGAACCAGCCACGCCGCGUGAGGGAAGAAGGUACAGCGUAUCGUAAACCUCUUUUGUCAGGGAACAAAGGCGGGGACUAGUCCCCGGAUGAGGGUACCUGAAGAAAAAGCAUCGGCUAACUCCGUGCCAGCAGCCGCGGUAAUACGUAGGUGGCAAGCGUUAUCCGGAUUUACUGGGCGUAAAGGGCGUGUAGGCGGGACUGCAAGU